ACAACCACUGACCGCCGUAUGAGCUAAGGAGCUCAUCUCCGUGUUGAGCUAAGACGUCCCCAAGGUCUAACCUAUAUCUGAGCUGUUCAGCCAACUUAUCUCUUCGACAUGCGCGACAGCUGCCUAUCCUGAAUAAGAUAAUAUUUAACAUAAUCAUCUCUCCUGAUCUUGUGAGAGCAUUUAAAGGCUGAGUUAUCUCAUCCAAUUUGGUAUGUCCAACGAUCCGACAAUCUUGGGAUCGCACAAUCUCACAGCUAACAAUCUAGCUGUUUGACAUUCUUCUAUAUAAAUAACCAGAGCCCCGA
Molecule: long non-coding RNA, 305 nt
Filed under: Elaeis guineensis (African oil palm)
Lineage: Eukaryota; Viridiplantae; Streptophyta; Magnoliopsida; Arecales; Arecaceae
Description: long non-coding RNA (EGUI_LNC078114)
Source: RNAcentral